GGGGGCGUGGCUCAGCUGGGAGAGCACCUCGUUCGCAACGAGGGGGUCAGGGGUUCGAGUCCCCUCGUCUCCACCA
RNAcentral lists this transfer RNA (76 nucleotides) under Firmicutes bacterium HGW-Firmicutes-15. Its description in RNAcentral is "tRNA-Ala". It matches the Rfam family "tRNA". Rfam says of the family: Transfer RNA (tRNA) molecules are approximately 80 nucleotides in length. Their secondary structure includes four short double-helical elements and three loops (D, anti-codon, and T loops). Further hydrogen bonds mediate the characteristic L-shaped molecular structure. tRNAs have two regions of fundamental functional importance: the anti-codon, which is responsible for specific mRNA codon recognition, and the 3' end, to which the tRNAs corresponding amino acid is attached (by aminoacyl-tRNA synthetases). tRNAs cope with the degeneracy of the genetic code in two manners: having more than one tRNA (with a specific anti-codon) for a particular amino acid; and 'wobble' base-pairing, i.e. permitting non-standard base-pairing at the 3rd anti-codon position. RNAcentral also lists the same sequence under 3 other names. The record is from RNAcentral. Lineage: Bacteria; Bacillati; Bacillota.